CAGCCGCCGCGGGAAUACGUAGGGUGCAAGCAUUAAUCGGAAUUACUGGGCGUAAAGCGUGCGCAGGCGGUUAUGCAAGACAGAUGUGAAAUCCCCGGGCUCAACCUGGGACCUGCACUUGUGACUGUAUAGCUAGAGUACGGUAGAGGGGGAUGGAAUUCCGCGUGUAGCAGUGAAAUGCGUAGAUAUGCGGAGGAACACCGAUGGCGAAGGCAAUCCCCUGGACCUGUACUGACGCUCAUGCACGAAAGCGUGGGGAGCAAACAGGAUUAGAUACCCCAGUAGUCCCUGUCUCUUAUAC
RNAcentral lists this ribosomal RNA (301 nucleotides) under uncultured bacterium. RNAcentral's name for it is "partial 16S ribosomal RNA". It matches the Rfam family "Bacterial small subunit ribosomal RNA", at positions 509 to 807 of the family's 1533-position model. The record is from RNAcentral.